AAGUUUUCACACAGCUACUCAUACAAGGGUUUUCCUUAUUUUGAUUAUUUUCUACAUUGUAAAAUAAUAGGGAAGACAUCAAAACGAUGAAAUAACACAUAUGGAAUCAUGUAGUAACCAAAUAAGUGUUAAACAAAUCUAAAUGUAUUUUAUAUUUGAGAUUCUUCAAAGUAGCCAUCCAUUGCCUUGAUGACAUUUUUAAAAACAUCUUUAAAAAACUGAAACAGCAGUAGAGUAGUAGUUUAAAACAGUUGAAUUUCAGUCAGAAUCUGCCAAGCGCUCAAGACUGAAAUGUGUGACAAUUCCCGCACAAUUGAGCUCACACACACACACACACACACACAAACAGUACCGCUGCAGCUGUUAACACAUUAGCUUAUAUACACAAUAGUUGUGGAUGGUUACCUGUGAUUGACUAUAAUCCAUCAUCCACCUCAUAUCAGACGUGCAGACGUUGGGCAAACUGCUAGGGACAAGAGAGAGAAAGACCACCGUCGCAAUUGCUCCCCCCACUGCUUAACAAUGUUGUCCCUCCCACCCUCAUUAUAACAUCGCUAAUUUCCCGUUGAUGAUGCUAGAAUCUUUUCCAUUAUAAAUUAGAUUGGAAUUCCAUGCGUUGAUACAGCUCAAUUUGUCGUACUAACUUCAGACAUGACGCAAUUUGCACUAUACAUUUUCAAGAAGUUAAAAGGUGAUGACGAAGAUGAUCCAAAUUAAUCAGAGAACAAGAAGCUGAAAAUAAGUAAAUGAAUGGUAGUUGGAUUUGAUUUAUGUUUCUUUUUUACAUCAAUUCAUACUUUCACACACAUUUUAUUAUUAUGUUAUUACACUGAACAAAAAAUGUAAAAGCAACAUGCAACAAUUUCUAAGAUUUUUAUGAGUUACACUUCAUAUAAUGAAAUCAGUCAAUAUCACAUGACUUGGAAUACAUACAGUACUAGUCAAAGGUUUAGACACACCUACUCAUUCAAGGGUUUUUCUUUAUUUUUACUAUUUUCUACAUUGUAGAAUAAUAGUGAAGACAUCAAAACUAUGAAAUAACACAUAUGGAAUCAUGUAGUAACCAAAAAAGUGUUAAACAAAUCUAAAUGUAUUUUAUAUUUGAGAUUCUUCAAAGUAGCCACCCUUUGCCUUGAUGACAACUUUGCACACUCUUCGCAUUCUCUCAACCAGCUUUAUGAGGUUGUUAUCUGGAAUGCAUUUCAAUUAACAGGUGUGCCAUGUUAAAAGUUAAUUUGUGGAAUUUCUUUCCUUCUUAACCUCUUGGGGCUAGGUGGGACGCUAGCGUGCCACCCGUGGUGCACUCCAUCAACAGCAGGUGCAUUUCAAGAGCGG
RNAcentral lists this long non-coding RNA (1335 nucleotides) under Salmo salar (Atlantic salmon). RNAcentral describes it as "lncRNA (ENSSSAG00000106030.1)". The record is from RNAcentral. Lineage: Eukaryota; Metazoa; Chordata; Actinopteri; Salmoniformes; Salmonidae.